AGCAGCCGCGGUAAUUCCAGCUCCAAUAGCGUAUAUUAAAGUUGUUGCAGUUAAAAAGCUCGUAGUUGAAUUUCGGGAUUGACACAUCGGUCGUGCCUUAAGGGGUAUGAACUGGUGUAGUCAAUUUCUCACCUUCUGGAGAACCGCGAUGCCCUUAAUUGGGUGUCGCGGGGAACCAGGACCUUUACUUUGAAAAAUUAGAGUGUUUAAAGCAGGCAUUUUGCUUGAAUACAUUAGCAUGGAAUAAUAAAAUAGGACGGCAUGAUUCUAUUUUGUUGGUUUCUAGGAUCACCGUAAUGAUUAAUAGGGAUAGUUGGGGGCAUUAGUAUUCAAUUGUCAGAGGUGAAAUUCUUGGAUUUUAUUGAAGACUAACUACUGCGAAAGCAUUUGCCAAGGAUGUUUUCAUUAAUCAAGAACGAAAGUUAGGGGGAUCGAAGACGAUCAGAUACCGUCGUAGUCUUAACCCAUAAACUAUGACCGAUAGGAAUCAGACGAUUGUUAAUUUUUAAUGUACUCGUUG
This 520-nucleotide unclassified non-coding RNA is filed under the name uncultured Entrophospora. Its description in RNAcentral is "SSU rRNA". It matches the Rfam family "Eukaryotic small subunit ribosomal RNA", at positions 569 to 1081 of the family's 1831-position model. Lineage: Eukaryota; Fungi; Glomeromycota; Glomeromycetes; Entrophosporales; Entrophosporaceae. The record is from RNAcentral.